UCUAUCGUGCGUUUACGGGGUAAGUAAAAAGCUUAAAGUCAGGAUUAUGAAUAAUAAGUUAUAAAGUGGUAUAAUAGUCGUAAACAUUUUUUUUCCUGUUAAUUGGUUACCAGUUUUUAUAGAAAUUUAAAAAAAUUUUAGUUGGAAAGAGAGCCAUACUGGUCCUUUAAUAAAUUCUAGAUCGAUAAAAAUGUAAAAUUUUUAAAAAUUUUGUAGACCACAAACCUGUCGAAAUUAAACUUCUACCUGUCUAUAGUUUUUGGAAAAGCUUAUCGAAAAAAAUUAAAGAACACGAAACAUGCAGUGCACAUUUUAAGUGCUUCCAAUACUAGAUAAAAUUAUACAUACUGUUUCUUUUUACUUACUACUUGUUACUAUCUUUAAUGUUUAUUUAUUUAUUUUUAAUUUUUUCUAUUGCUGGCAUAGCGAAUCAAGGCACCACAGACGAGCAACAACAAAUGCUGUUUCAUAAAAAGCAAAUUUUUUGGAAACCUAUGUUGGAAAACAUGCUUGAUAUUAUCUUAUUUCCUUCGUCGAAAAAUCUUGCAUUCCGUGGUUAAGGUACGAAUAGUUCAAGGACCAAUGGAAACUUUUUCUGGGUAUUUGAAUUACCGACUAAAAUGAUACUGUUCUCGAUAAGCUUAUACAAAGAAUACUACUGAAUACUAAGAAUUUACUAGAUUAACGGGAGUCAUUUAACUGCAAUCAUAAUGGUGCUAUCCAAAAUUGGAUGUCCUCUAAAAAUACAACCAUUGCUCUGUAUACUUAGUAUUUUAAUGUUUUAAAGAUGAGAACCCUGAGAUGAGAGAAGAAAACAUUAGUCAAGAGUUCUUAGACUAGACUAAUUUUUGUUUUCUAUACACAAGGAAGACAUUUUCUAGUUAAUUAGACAGGAUCCUAGAUGGAAUAAAGAGGCUGUAAAGGGUGAUUCUAUUUUUUUGAAGAGAUUUUUGAAAAAGGACAUUGUCAAAAUGUCAUACAAAAAUGACAAAAUAUUUGCUGAAAUAGUUUCUGAAAGUGAGAAAAGGAUGAAAAACCUGCAGAAAAACCUGAGGAAGAUGAUAGAAGAAGAGAAACAAAAGCGAUUGUUGAGCAAAAAAAAAAAGAAAGUUACUGGAAAAUGCAGGAGAAGAAAAAGCUUUGAAAAAUUUUGAGCAGAAAUUCUCCAGUGGUUGUAGUGGAACAGAUUAAUACGAUUCAGACUUUGAGACUUCUACUGCAAAGAAAAAAAAGUUGUAUGAUUCAACAAAGAUUUACCUUCAACUCAGUCUGAAUGACUUUUUAAUUAAGUAGAUUCCAUUUAUGACAAGAUAACUAAGUUUAUGUAUAAAAAAGUGAAGAAUAUUAUUAUGAAGUAUAAGUGAAGUUUAAUCUCAUCCUAGUCCAAUUUUUUGGCUAAUAGUGCAGGCCACUAUGUACCUUCGUGUGCACAUACGUGUUACAAGCAAAUUUUUUUUUUGAUAUGAGAUCCUUGUAUAAUAAGGAUUUGAAAAAUGACAGGUGUCACUCGACUUUCAUUUCGCGUGAUAGGUGGUAUGACGUAACUGGUCCUCAUAACAACUAUUUUCUUUUUUAGCAAAUUAAAAUUUUUUUAUACAAAUCGAAAGAGCAUAAAUCAGGUAUUCAAAAUAAUAUAAAAACAUAUGUUGAAAGUUUUUAUUUAAAAAGAUACAGGAGUAAAUAUGUUUUUAUUAAACCGGAGGUAUACCGCUGCUUUGUGAAUAUUUCAUGCUUGACGAUUGAAUUAUUUCAAAUGUUUUGAUAAUGUUAUUUAAUUUUUACAUAAUUCUACUUAUAAGAAUGCAACAAUUCGAAUGAUUUGUAUUUGUUUUUGGCUUUUAAAAACGUUUUUAUACUGUGUUAUUGUUGUUUCACAAAUUAAAUAUUAUUACAAAUGGAGGACGAAGAACGAAAAAAAAAGAAAAAAGACAACAAUUAAGAAUUCUUCCUUAGAAUGAGCACAACCCCAAAUUCUGAUGAUGCUGUUGCAAAUGAUGCUAAAUACCUCUUAAAGUGUUGGGUAACAGUGCAGAGAUCUGUUAAAUUGACAACAACUCAAGGAGAAAUUCAAGAAUUGGAUGAUAUUGGACGGGUUAUCGCCGAUGUAGAAAUCAUUGGUUUAGUCCAUUUGAACUUAAAAGAUGGUUUUGCUAUGGAUAUGAAAAACAUCAAUAAAACUUACAACAACUUAAUUGGAUAUAAUGACCAGACUGAGGUGAAUUAUAAACGUGACUUAAAGAAACUUCUACAAAAUAACGUGGCAGAAAUAAUUUUUUCAAGACCUCCGUGCCGUAGAAAGUCCGUCUGUAGAAAGUCCAGCUUUGCUCUAGCAAAUAUCAAGCAAAGGCGGUAGAUAACUUUAAAAACAAUCCGGAUGAUUAUACAACAAUAAGCAAAUCUCACAUUGCUAAAAAACGGAUCAAGAUUUCAGAGUUUUUCAUGUUACUGAAACACCUUUUUCAGUCGGCCUCGGAUUACAUGUGCAUAAAGAAACCCGUUAAAAGAAGCUGGUGAGCUGCUUGGCGUAUUUUAGACUUUCUAUUUCCUAUGAUAGUGUUAUAAAGAUCGAAAAUCGAUUAGGAAACGCUGUUAUUGAAAACAUAUCAACAAACCGAUGCACAUUUGUACCUCCUAAUAUUGGCAUUCCUUUUUGUAAAAUUGUUUCUGAUCAUGCUUUAGAACAGGAAAACAAGGUUUUGAAGGUAGCAGGUGGAGUGAUUGGUAUUACACAAAGUCCAACGUGCUUAAACCGUUUUUGCCUUAUUGCUCCUGCUUAUCAUAUUCCAUAUCAUAUUGCUCCUGCUUAUCAUAUUCCAUAACUCCAUAUCAAAAAUAUUUUGCGAAAAAAAUAAUAUUGGAUAACAAUUUCGUAAACAACACUACCAAAUGGCUGGAUCUACUAACGAAAGAAUUUCAUCAAAUGUAAAAAAAGUCAUUGAUUCAUUUGAUACUUUUGGCAUCCACUUCAACAAAAAUCAGGUGGUUUUUAAUCUUGUGUCCAAAGCCAUUUUGUCAAAAGAAGUAGCAGAUGAAUUAGUUUAUCAUGGAAAAAUCGAAGAAGAGCUUUACCGUUCUUUUGUUACUGAAAGGUUAAAAAGAAGCAUAUCUAUAUGAUCGCUAAUGAAGAUGAGAAAUCUAAAAACAUUCAUAAAUCAAGCCAAAGUUUUAAAAAUAAAGAUAGAUAAUAAAGUAAUUCAACUAAAAGAAGAGCGCACCUUAUUAUCUCGUUUUCUACUUAGUGCAAGAAAACGCCCAGAGCUUGAUUUGGAAAAAAGCAUUGGUAGCUAUGAGUUUUCAGCUGUACAAAAAUCGAUGUUUACUCAAGAUGGUCGCCCAUUGAUCACCUCUGAUAAAAAAAAAAACUCUGCAUGAAGUUGAAGAUUAGUCAAAAAGAUCAGAGAAUUCGACACAAGAACAAGAAAUCUCAGUAAAUGCAUCAACUACCAUUAUUGAUGGCAUGGUCUUGGUCAAUAAAGUUCAUAAAGAUAACAGUAUUCAAACUUGGAAAGUAACACUUGUUAUUUAUUGUAUUCUUUACUGUAAUAACUUUGUAUGUAUAAUUGAUAAGUUAACUAACAUUGGCUUAUAAUAUUUAAAACGAAUAGUAACAUAUACUAUGAUCAUGCCUAUACGCACGAUAAAAAAACUUGAACAAGAAUAAAACGCACCUCUGACAAUGAAAUCAAAUAUAAAGUAACUGAUGACUCUAUAAUUUGUAACAAGUCGCUAAAGCAGUUAUUGGGGCACAUUGAAACAAAGCAAGCUCUUACCGAAUACCUGGUUGAAUAUACAAAAGCUAAUAUAAGUAGUACAGUUCGCUUCAUUGUAACAUAUUCAAAAACAACAGAAGCAAAUAUGAAGUAUCUAUUUGCAGAAAUGAUGAAUCAUGAUCACGAAGAGGCUGAUACUCUGUUAAUUCUACAUGCUAUUGACGUUGCAAAAGAAAACCCAUUAAAAAAUGUAUUGUGCAUUCACAAGAUACUGACGUUUUUCUACUUUUAAGUCAUUUUUAUCAAGUCCUGCCACGUGUCACAAUUUUCCGAACUGGUAGAGGGGACAAUGAACGAGACAUCUGGAUUCAAAAAUGUUACAAACAAAUUGUUUCUAAACAAGCACAAGCUAUUUUAGGUGCUCCAAGAAAACUUAACGGUCUUGUCACAGAGCACCGCGGAAGUGCAUUUAACCAGGAAGUUCAUGCCUUCCUUACCGUGACGCGAAAUAUGUCCAAAACUCGUUUUAAACCUGGAUCUCCUCUGCUUAUAAAGCAAGCGCUCUAACUACUGCACCACG
This is a long non-coding RNA of Hydra vulgaris (swiftwater hydra), 4290 nucleotides long. RefSeq lists it as uncharacterized. The record is from RefSeq and is a predicted model, not a curated record. NCBI's taxonomy places the organism in Eukaryota, Metazoa, Cnidaria, Hydrozoa, Anthoathecata, Hydridae.